RNAcentral lists this ribosomal RNA (735 nucleotides) under uncultured Fusobacterium sp. RNAcentral describes it as "bacterial SSU rRNA". It matches the Rfam family "Bacterial small subunit ribosomal RNA", at positions 28 to 776 of the family's 1533-position model. The record is from RNAcentral. Lineage: Bacteria; Fusobacteriati; Fusobacteriota; Fusobacteriia; Fusobacteriales; Fusobacteriaceae.
GAUGAACGCUGACAGAAUGCUUAACACAUGCAAGUCAACUUGAAUUUGGGUUUUUAACUUAGGUUUGGGUGGCGGACGGGUGAGUAACGCGUAAAGAACUUGCCUCACAGCUAGGGACAACAUUUGGAAACGAAUGCUAAUACCUAAUAUUAUGAUAAUAGGGCAUCCUAUAAUUAUGAAAGCUAUCAGCGCUGUGAGAGAGCUAUGCGUCCCAUUAGCUAGUUGGAGAGGUAACGGCUCACCAAGGCGAUGAUGGGUAGCCGGCCUGAGAGGGUGAUCGGCCACAAGGGGACUGAGACACGGCCCUUACUCCUACGGGAGGCAGCAGUGGGGAAUAUUGGACAAUGGACCAAGAGUCUGAUCCAGCAAUUCUGUGUGCACGAUGAAGUUUUUCGGAAUGUAAAGUGCUUUCAGUUGGGAAGAAAGAAAUGACGGUACCAACAGAAGAAGUGACGGCUAAAUACGUGCCAGCAGCCGCGGUAAUACGUAUGUCACGAGCGUUAUCCGGAUUUAUUGGGCGUAAAGCGCGUCUAGGUGGUUAUGUAAGUCUGAUGUGAAAAUGCAGGGCUCAACUCUGUAUUGCGUUGGAAACUGUAUAACUAGAGUACUGGAGAGGUAAGCGGAACUACAAGUGUAGAGGUGAAAUUCGUAGAUAUUUGUAGGAAUGCCGAUGGGGAAGCCAGCUUACUGGACAGAUACUGACGCUGGAGCGCGAAAGCGUGGGUAGCAAACAGG